RNAcentral lists this ribosomal RNA (444 nucleotides) under uncultured bacterium. RNAcentral describes it as "bacterial SSU rRNA". It matches the Rfam family "Bacterial small subunit ribosomal RNA", at positions 29 to 507 of the family's 1533-position model. The record is from RNAcentral.
AACGAACGCUGGCGGCAGGCUUAACACAUGCAAGUCGAAGGAGAAGCAGGACUUCGGUCCUGUGGACACUGGCGAACGGGUGGGUAACGCGUGGGAACCUGCCCUGGGGUGGGGACAACCACUGGAAACGGUGGCUAAUACCGCAUACGCCCUCCGGGGGAAAACUUUUGUGCCCUGGGAUGGUCCCGCGUCGGAUUAGCUAGUUGGUAGGGUAACGGCCUACCAAGGCGACGAUCCGUAGCUGGUCUGAGAGGAUGAUCAGCCACACUGGAACUGAGACACGGUCCAGACUCCUACGGGAGGCAGCAGUGGGGAAUAUUGGACAAUGGGGGCAACCCUGAUCCAGCCAUGCCGCGUGGGUGAAGAAGGCCUUAGGGUUGUAAAACCCUUUCAGCGGGGAAGAUGAUGACGGUACCCGCAGAAGAAGCCCCGGCUAACUCCGUG